This 440-nucleotide ribosomal RNA is filed under the name uncultured bacterium. Its description in RNAcentral is "partial 16S ribosomal RNA". It matches the Rfam family "Bacterial small subunit ribosomal RNA", at positions 338 to 795 of the family's 1533-position model. The record is from RNAcentral.
CCUACGGGUGGCAGCAGUGGGGAAUAUUGCACAAUGGGCGGAACCCUGAUGCAGCGACGCCGCGUGAGUGAAGAAGUAUUUCGGUAUGUAAAGCUCUAUCAGCAGGGAAGAAAAUGACGUUACCUAACUAAGAAGCCCCUGCUAACUACGUGCCAGCAGCCGCGGUAAUACGUAGGGGGCAAGCGUUCUCCGGAUUUACUGGGGGUAAAGGGAGGGCAGACGGCUUGUCAAGUCUGGAGUGAAAGGCGGGGGCCAAACCCCGGGACUGCUCUGGAAACUGUACAGCUGGAGUGCAGGAGAGGGAAGUGGAAUUCCUAGUGUAGCGGUGAAAUGCGUAGAGAUUAGGAGGAAUACCAGUGGCGAAGGCGGCUUACUGGACUGCAACUGACGUUGAGGUUCGAAAGCGUGGGGAGCAAACAGGAUUAGAGACCCUAGUAGUC